CAUUUUCUAUGACCCCGCCCAUCGAGAAGCAUGCGCGCGUGAGAUGAUGGUUGAGGAAUCAUACCCACGUAGAAUCUUGCUUUGAUUUCUGGAUCUUCGCCCGCUCAUCUACAGAGUCCAAGGACCAAGCCUCCGUCUCCGGCUCGCGGAGUCCAACUUCCAAGGCCAUGCCGCGCCCAGGAUAACUUCUCUGCAUCUGGUGGCCAGCUAGCUAGCUAGCGGGCCGGGCCGGGCUCAAGCAAGGAUGCACCCACAUGUCAUAGCCAGCUUUAACCCCUCUAACCAUAGGAUCCUCUCUGCUUAUAAUGGAUGACAUAGAGGGAAAAUUCUCUGGUUCAAAAAGGCAUGACCAGUACAAUUGAAGUUCUGACACUGAGUGGAAAGCAUGUUGUAUUGCAGACUGACAGGUGUGUGAACAUGCAAAUGGAGUAUAGUGCAUUAGCAGAAGAGAUGAUUAACUUUGGAAAUUGAUGCGCAAGUUACCUGAGCGAUGGAUGCUGGGAUACAUUUAACAUCCAACCGACCAAAACAUCUACCACUGACUGACUAUUUUCAAAGUCGUGAGAAUAGAAUUUACCCGAUAUGCAUUCCGUAGAUCAUAGUUUUUAUGAACCCUCACCUAAAAAUGUGGCCAAAAUGCAACUUUGGAAACUUCGGAAUGGAAAAGUAAUGUUUUAUGAUCAGUCUAUGAGCAUUUUCACAAUUGUCAGAAUGUUUAAGGUUUACAAAACUUUACAAGGAACUUUCUCCUGAAUGAAGCAAAUGACAGCUACAUGUAGGUAUUGAUAAUUAAGAAGAGACCUGAAAUUUAAAAAAAAUGUUAUUCUUGUUUUGGUGGCAGUGACUUGAUAAUGACAGCAAGUGGCAUUCUUUCAAUCGGUGUCACCUAUCAUAUUUGAUGGUUUAAGAACCAUACCUGUCAUGAUAACAAUGCUCCAGUAAAUAAGAGGAGAUAGUUUGAACUUGAGAGUCGGCUCUCAGAGGGAUCCAAGCACCCAGGAGGGUCUCCAAACAAGGUUAGAGUGCAUUCAAGAACAACAAGAGGACAUUGGCAAGAGCAACAUUGCAAAGCAUUUACAGUCACUCCUUGUACUAAUGGUUGGGAAAAGAGUAUUUAACAGAUGCCGAGGACAUGACAUGAAUUCCCUAGCAGCUGAAAAGAGCUUCCAUUGUCAGACCUAAUAUCAUUUUCACAUAUAAGAGGAGAUACUUUGGACAGUUGAACUUGAUAUUCAGCUCACAGAGGGAUGCAAGCACCAGGGAGGCUCAGAAGGCAUAUCUGGAGAGUAUUCAAGAGCAAUGAGAACAGAAGCAAGAGCAGCAUUGCAAAGCACCCACCGACACUCUUUUUCACGGAUGACGAGGACAUCUCAUGAAUUCCCUGGCAGCUGAAAAUGGCAUCCAUCGUCAGACCUGAUAUCAUGUUCAAAAGAGGACCAGGACCCCAGGAGGUUUGGAUGUGAUUGUGAAAUUUUUGUUGUUAAAUCUGUGUAAAUUUUCCAAGUGCUGUACAAUAUGUUGAGGUUCAGUGGCGUAUCCAAUAUACAAAUAAUGAAUGUUUAUGAGUGCGGUAAAAGAUGAAAUAAUGAUCCAUUCAAUUCGGCUACGCCUCGUUGAAUGGAUCAUUUCAUCUUUCACCUAGUCAAAUAUUUCAAGUAUUCUGUCCAUUGCACGAAUGAAAAAACAUUCAUUAUUUGGUUUAUAUGACACCUAAAAAUUGUUUUUUUCAUAUGAAAUUUAUGAAUUUUGAUACAAAACAUGCUCAUGCAGUGCGAGUUCGGUCUGUUGAUUGUUACGUCAUUACAACAUGCGCAAUGGACAAAAUCGUAUGGAUCCAAAAUUGCAUGAUGAAUGGAUCCAAAAUUGCACGGUUGAUGACGUCAUUGCAAAAUGGGCUAAAUGAACGUUAUCAAACAACCAAUCAAAUCACAAGGAUCUAUCCAGGUGUCAUAUAAUUGGGUUUAACACAAUACCAUUUAACGUCUCAUACUGUUUGGGUCCAAAGUAUCCGGCUGGAUGCGCCACUGAAGAAUUUGAUUGUUUGAAAGUGUGAAUGCUGUAGUAAGUGGGAUUGAUUCUUUUUUUUUCUAAAAGGUGAUAUUGACUAAUGGGGAAUACUUUUUAUUCUCAAAGUUGAUGUAGCAGUUUUGAUCGUUGAGGAAAAGAUUUUAAGAAAGUUGUGUACAGUUUGUACAGUGCUACGGCAUGUGACAAAAGUCUGUUACACAAUGUGUGUCAAAGUCAUGAAAUGAAUAGUGCAUCCAAAAAAUACCUCUUUUUUCUUUCCAGGGUUCUUUGUUGAGAGACUAAUCUAAGGCUACUUGUUCAUUUUCCAAAGCUCUUUCCUCUUUCUAGGGCUACAGCUUUUAGACCUACAUGUAGUUUGCAACAAAAACCAAAAGAAUUGUUGAAGCAUGAGAUAUAAAAGCCGAAACAAUAACAGGGCUGGAUUUAGCGGGAGCCCGGUGGCGAAUGGCUCCCUAAAACCUCUGCGGGCUCCUUAGAAAGUAAUUGAAAAAGCCUGGCGGGCUCUCUACAAUUUUCUAGUACCAGCCACCAAAAAUGCAAUUUCUUGCUAGCACACUAAUCCACGCUUUAAUCUAUCUAAAAGUCUAAAACAUGUUUUCAAAAUCAUAACAAGCCUUGAAAAUAGUGACAGUUUCAAAUUGCUUAGCUGCGUCUUUUUUUGUGUAACACGUUUUUCCACACACAUGGUAUGGAAAAAAAAGAAUCAGGCCGGUGUAGCGGCGAAUACUGUAUCUGCCGGCAGAUAUCGUUCUAAAUGGCUGAUAUCGUUUUUAAUCGGAACCAUAUCCGCCGGGUUUGACGCGGCAUGAUGUUUGCAGAUUUGGUUCCUCGGCGGAUUUGGUUCUAUUGACUAUAUGUGUAAUAUUGAUUUGGACAGACAACCUCGGCAGCGUGCGCAUGCGCGGCUCUGGCAAUGUCGAUCGCAAUGGGGGGGGGGGGGAGAUUUUCGUCCGCCUUUAGUGAAUUUUUAUUCAGGGGCGGAUCCAUACAGCUAUUGACAAAGGGCUCAAUGGGUGUGAGGAUUAAUAGGAGAAAUAAUGUCUCGAUAUUUCAUGUAUUACAUAGACCUGGCACAUACGCCAAAACUUUGCUAUUUAUUAUUAUCAGAUUUUGAUGAAAUUUUCAUCAUUUUGUUUUGUGAAUUUUUAAACUAUUUUCAUUCCGCAGUAUGCAUCGAUCUCUUUAACUGUCCUUUCUAACACCAUGUUUAGUGUCAGUUUGCCAGACUGUUAGGCGAAAAUUUGCACCCCCAUAUAGGCCUGUAGGUUUUUGAAACUACAAAUGUUCAGAAAAAUUUCAACAAGUUAAACUUCAUAUUUCAAAAUAAAUGAUGCAAAUUAGUGUAGAAAAUAUGUUUUGCUGUUAAACUCAUAUUAUUGCUUGUAGAAUGCUAAUUUUUGCUGAAAACAUAAAUUUGACAUUUCUAACAAACAUCCAAAAAAAAGAAUGUCAAAACAUAUUUAAUUUCUUAUGUAGUUUAUUGUAGGCCUAUUUUUAAGUUCUCAUGUAUUUUUUUAAUUUUUUUUUCAAUAUUUUUGUUAUGGAAUCUGAAUUAAUUAAAGGGGACCAGAAGUUCACCCUGACAAAAGUUAGAUAUGCCACUUACAUGUACUGUUUGGUGCUCCCUAAUUUACCUCUCAGUCAUCUAAUUUAAGAUCAAUAUGGGAUCUUUAGUGAAAUAUAAUUUCUCCUUUAUAUCUUUUGUUUCUCUUACUGUACCCCCUCCUGGUUUUCAUCUCUUUAUUUUUUGCCUUUCUUUCUGUCCCUGCUCAUUUCGCCCCUUUUGCCUCUUCUCCAGUUUCCUAACCUUUCUGGCACAUUAUGAAUAUAUCUGGGGCGUAUACAGUACGCAUGGGUGAUAUAGCACCAAAAAGGAGAAAUAGCAAGAGGAAGGGGAGGGAGAGAAAAUAGAAAAAAUAUACGAGAAAAUGUGGAAGAAAUAAUAGUAAUACAUUGGAAUUUCGCAAAUCAAGAAUUUCAUUAGCAGUGAUCAUUAUCUAUACUUCCCUUUAGAAAGCUUAUUACAAAAUCCUGAUUUUAAUUAUCGAAACUGCCAUAGCUUGCCUUUAUUUAAUACUCUGUAUCAAUCAUAAUUGAUGCAUAUUGUACCAAAUUUAUCCCUAAAUUUGUGAUAAGAAGGAUUUUUCAUAAGUACUGCAAUAGAUUAAUAGGUAUAAAAUAAAUUAACAAAUGCAUGUUAUUUGAUUACAAGCAUUAUUAUCAUAUCUUGGGGUAAAUUCUUUGUAUACUAGUAGUGCAGCAGACAUUGAAAGUUGAAUGAAGACUGAAUGUGGACUAAAAGACCCAGACCCCAAAAUUUAAUUGACAAAUCAGACAAAACGAAAGCUAUUAAUCUAAACUAAAAACAGAAAUACAAGUUUUAUGCAGUCAUCGCUUAAAGCUGAAUAUUUUGCUUAAGAAUAGCUCCAAUUAUCGGGUUUUUCAUCAUGCCAUCUUUUGAGCAGCCGCUGCUGCUCUUCUGACUUGAAGACCACCUUACGGGGCCGACGUUGUGAUUAGCUGGCGUCUCCACUAGAACUUCUAGUUCCAACGUAAUGCAAACUUCUCUGAUUAGUCUGAGUCUGACUCUGUCCCUCAUCAUCAGGAAAAAGGCAGAAUUUUGAUGCUUUCCUCUUCAAGGCUUUGGUAGGCCUAGUAUUAGACCUAGUAGAAUCCGAAAGGUAGCUCUCAAUUAGAGCCACCUCUUCUUCGAACUUCAUAAUGAAUAAACGUUGGCUAGUAGUGCCGGUGGACCUAGAAAAGAAAGUAGAUUCUCCUCUACAUGUACAGUCUCUACUCUAGUCUAGAUGAUCUCUAUUCACCACUGGUCAAGCUCAACAAUCAAUCAACCAAACAUUCUUAUGCACACGACAAUGCGCACACAACCGAAUUACGAAGAGUUGACACAUAUUGCGACGGACGUGCACAUUGAUAAGCCUUUGCACAUGCACAGUGGUCGCUCGUUGUAACUUUGGUUAUACAACAGCAGCACUUCAAUCACUCAUAACAGUAACUUAUCUCAAGCACACAACAAGCACAUCAAACGGUAUCUAAGAACAUUUCCAGUAGCGAACCACAGUUGCACAGCAUACAUCCUGUUCAUUCAGACUUCUCUCUAACUGCAGGGGUGUGAGAGCUCAGCUUUUAAGCUGAUUUCAGAUAUUUUUGGGUUUUGAUUUUCAGCUUAUUUUAGCGUAUUUUAGCUUAUUGUAGUUUUCCUCUGUACAAAACCUGUAGUCUGAGCUCUUUCUGUUUCAGCUUUUUCCAACACUCUUCAGCUUUUUCAGAUCUUUUUAUUUGUGACCACUCACACCCCUGUAACUGACAUUCUACAUGUAGCAUGGUAAUUAAGUCGAGGGUUGAUGACGGACGGUUUGAUCGAAAUAUGCAAACACUAUAUAUUACUAAGACAAACCUUACAUGUAAGACUAUUUACUACAACUCCAUGAUUCACAUCAACGAUCACUGGUCACUACUCGAUCCAAUUAGACAUUCGUUUUAUUUGAGUUAACUAAACCGGGUCUAAGUAAUUUCUCAUUUUUGGAAACUAAAAAGUAGAGUUAUACCCGAUUUAAAGCAUUUAUUAACAAUGAAUAACUGGUAAAUUCCUGAAUAGUAGAAGUGGCAUUUCCAUCAAUGUUAUACAGUAUUGACAUAUUUACAUGCUUUAAAACCAAGUCCUAGGUUACAUGGCUGAUGUCUUUAUACAGUUACUCAAAUGUUCGCCGAACAUCAAUAAUCCUACAAGUGACAAGAAAUUUCUGCUCAGUUUGUCGCUCUUUGAAUAAACUGAUCUUAAAUUCUACAAAAUAGAGUGUUUGAUUUUAUGUUCAUUAAAAGUGUGAACUUCAGAAAUAUUUCCAUCUAACUUCAUCAUUUCCAUAACCUUGCUGCGAGUAGGCCUUUUUUAUAUUCUCUACGUUCUUCCAAACAACAUUCCAAGUUGGUAUAAAGGUGUCUCUGUUUCUGCACCAUCAUUUUGCUUAACAUAUCUAGUGCAUGCAUAGAUAUCAAAUAUUUUUCUCCUGUCUAGAAAAUCAUCCUCAACUUUCCUGUUCCAACCCAUUGCACCACUGCAAUAGCAAUUCCAAGGUCUCUCCACCCCGGCCUAUUUCCUGCCACUAACUCCUUGUAAUAUCUGGCCUCGAGAUUUUAUCUCCAAAAUAUUGGCUAACAAAGUCCUUUUUAUACCAUCAACUUUCUAUGUUCAACCUGGUCCAUAACUAUGGGUGGCCAACUUGUUGAAUCAAAGGCUGUCGAGCGGUCACUGGCCGUUUGCAGUUCCUUGUCAGGCUUUGAUGAAUUUGUCAGUGUUUUGUUUGUCUGAACUCAUUUUAUCUCUUCAAAUCCCAUUACUCUUAUAUUAGCCUUGAGUACCCUUUACAGUUCCCUACACAUAAUGUGCUGUGUUACUUCAUCUAUAGUGAAUUCGUGUAUGUAGGGGCUACUAAGAUUUUGACUUACCUCCUUUUGUAUCCUUUUAGGUUGUGCAAGUAAGUCACAAUAUCCUCAUAAACGAAAUUGAAAGUGCCCUUGUGGAAGCGAUGGAUAUUAAUGAUAUUGAAUAUCAUGUUAUCCAUUAUCACAUCUUUGAACAUAGAUUUUCAGCUUUGACGAUUGCUAGUAAUUUAUGCUUUGUUUUUGAAAAAGGGAAAAUUAAGUGAUGAAUAAUGAAUUUUCAUAAUUAUAAGAGUUAUCCAAGGAUGGGUAUAACAUUUGGGAUUUGACAUUGCAGUGUUUAGUAUGUAUAGGGUUAUAGACCUUGCGUAUUUUCUGUAUCGCCUGACGUAAAACAAUCCUUUUUACGAACUGGUGACGAGCAUGGUGUG
Long non-coding RNA from Lytechinus pictus (painted urchin), 6857 nucleotides. RefSeq lists it as uncharacterized. NCBI's taxonomy places the organism in Eukaryota, Metazoa, Echinodermata, Echinoidea, Temnopleuroida, Toxopneustidae. The record is from RefSeq and is a predicted model, not a curated record. The transcript has 4 exons.